GCAUCUAGCUCGCACGAGGUCCUCGUACAUGCAAGUCGAGCGGACAGAUCUGGAGCUCUGCUCCCUGAUGUUAGCGGCGGACGGGCUGAGUAACACAGUUGGGUAACCUGCCUGUAAGACUCGGGUAUAACUCCGGGAAACCGGCGGCUAAUACCGGAUGCUUGAUUGAACCGCAUGGUUCAAUUAUAAAAGGUGGCUUUAUACGCUUACNACUUUAACAAAUGGANCCCGGCGGGGCCUUAACCUUNGUGGUGGGGNUACCGGUUAACAAGGCCACCGGAUCCGUUAUCCCGACCUGGAAAAGGGGAUCAGGCCUCAAUUGGACUUGGAACCAGGUCCAAACUUCUNCGGGAGGGAAGAAUGUGGGAAUUUUUCGAAAUUGGAACCAAAGGUCUUACCGAACCACCCCCGGUGAGGGAAUAAAGUUUUUCGGAAUCGGAAAACUUUUUGUUGUUAAGGAAAAAACAAGUCCCGUUUCGAUUGGGCGGGACCUU
Molecule: ribosomal RNA, 494 nt
Filed under: Bacillus licheniformis
Lineage: Bacteria; Bacillati; Bacillota; Bacilli; Caryophanales; Bacillaceae
Description: bacterial SSU rRNA
Rfam family: Bacterial small subunit ribosomal RNA
Source: RNAcentral